This 72-nucleotide transfer RNA is filed under the name Bos taurus (domestic cattle). It matches the Rfam family "tRNA". From Rfam's summary of the family: Transfer RNA (tRNA) molecules are approximately 80 nucleotides in length. Their secondary structure includes four short double-helical elements and three loops (D, anti-codon, and T loops). Further hydrogen bonds mediate the characteristic L-shaped molecular structure. tRNAs have two regions of fundamental functional importance: the anti-codon, which is responsible for specific mRNA codon recognition, and the 3' end, to which the tRNAs corresponding amino acid is attached (by aminoacyl-tRNA synthetases). tRNAs cope with the degeneracy of the genetic code in two manners: having more than one tRNA (with a specific anti-codon) for a particular amino acid; and 'wobble' base-pairing, i.e. permitting non-standard base-pairing at the 3rd anti-codon position. The record is from Rfam by way of RNAcentral. Lineage: Eukaryota; Metazoa; Chordata; Mammalia; Artiodactyla; Bovidae. RNAcentral also lists the same sequence under 2 other names.
UCUGCGGUGGUCCAGUGUUAGCACUCGGUACUUUCACUGCUGAGGGCCCGGGUUCAAUCCCUGGUUGGGGAA